Molecule: unclassified non-coding RNA, 164 nt
Filed under: uncultured Penicillium
Lineage: Eukaryota; Fungi; Ascomycota; Eurotiomycetes; Eurotiales; Aspergillaceae
Description: sequence contains ITS2
Source: RNAcentral
CUGCCCAUCAAGCGCGGCUUGUGUGUUGGGCCUCCGUCCUCCUCCCCGGGGGACGGGCCCGAAAGGCAGCGGCGGCACCGCGUCCGGUCCUCGAGCGUAUGGGGCUUCGUCACCCGCUCUUGUAGGCCCGGCCGGCGCUUGCCGACACAUCAAUCUUUUUUCCA